GCAAGUCGAACGCGAAAACCCCGCAAGGGGUUAGUAGAGUGGCGAACGGGUGAGUAACACGUGGGUGACCUACCUUUCGAAUGGGGGAUAACGUCCCGAAAGGGACGCUAAUACCGCAUAACAUCCUGCUUUUGAACAAGUGGAGAUCAAAGCCGGGGAUCGCAAGACCUGGCGUUUGAAGAGGGGCCCGCGUCUGAUUAGCUAGUUGGUGAGGUAACGGCUCACCAAGGCGACGAUCAGUAUCCGGCCUGAGAGGGCGGACGGACACACUGGGACUGAGACACGGCCCAGACUCCUACGGGAGGCAGCAGUGGGGAAUUGUUCGCAAUGGGCGCAAGCCUGACGACGCAACGCCGCGUGGAGGAUGAAGGUCUUCGGAUUGUAAACUCCUGUUGCCCGGGACGAAACGCUUCGACCUAACACGUCGGAGUUUGACGGUACCGGGUGAGGAAGCCCCGGCUAACUCUGUGCCAGCAGCCGCGGUAAUACAGAGGGGGCAAGCGUUGUUCGGAAUUACUGGGCGUAAAGGGCGCGUAGGCGGCCUUCUAAGUCGAACGUGAAAUCCCCGGGCUCAACCCGGGAACUGCGUCCGAUACUGGAAGGCUUGAAUCCGGGAGAGGGAUGCGGAAUUCCAGGUGUAGCGGUGAAAUGCGUAGAUAUCUGGAGGAACACCGGUGGCGAAGGCGGCAUCCUGGACCGGCAUUGACGCUGAAGCGCGAAAGCCAGGGGAGCAAACGGGAUUAGAUACCCCGGUAGUCCUGGCCCUAAACGAUGAAUGCUUGGUGUGGCGGGUAUCGAUCCCUGCCGUGCCGAAGCUAACGCAUU
This 825-nucleotide ribosomal RNA is filed under the name uncultured Bacillota bacterium. RNAcentral describes it as "bacterial SSU rRNA". It matches the Rfam family "Bacterial small subunit ribosomal RNA", at positions 57 to 861 of the family's 1533-position model. Lineage: Bacteria; Bacillati; Bacillota. The record is from RNAcentral.